RNAcentral lists this ribosomal RNA (420 nucleotides) under Bacillus cereus. Its description in RNAcentral is "bacterial SSU rRNA". It matches the Rfam family "Bacterial small subunit ribosomal RNA", at positions 83 to 488 of the family's 1533-position model. Lineage: Bacteria; Bacillati; Bacillota; Bacilli; Caryophanales; Bacillaceae. The record is from RNAcentral.
UUAUGAAAGUUAGCGGCGGACGGGUGAGUAACACGUGGGUAACCUGCCCAUAAGACUGGGAUAACUCCGGGAAACCGGGGCUAAUACCGGAUAACAUUUUGAACCGCAUGGUUCGAAAUUGAAAGGCGGCUUCGGCUGUCACUUAUGGAUGGACCCGCGUCGCAUUAGCUAGUUGGUGAGGUAACGGCUCACCAAGGCAACGAUGCGUAGCCGACCUGAGAGGGUGAUCGGCCACACUGGGACUGAGACACGGCCCAGACUCCUACGGGAGGCAGCAGUAGGGAAUCUUCCGCAAUGGACGAAAGUCUGACGGAGCAACGCCGCGUGAGUGAUGAAGGCUUUCGGGUCGUAAAACUCUGUUGUUAGGGAAGAACAAGUGCUAGUUGAAUAAGCUGGCACCUUGACGGUACCUAUCCAGAA